GCCUACGCCUCGUCAGCCUCCCUCACGAGGGCUGCCGGGUCCUGGCGGCUCCCUCGAGUGGCCUCGAUACCGGAAAAAAGCCCUGCCUGUCCCCAUCCCCCGCUCCGCUGCAGAACGCGUCUGCCCCGGAGCCGAUCGCCUCGGCAAGAUGUUAUGAUCGUGUUCAUUGGCUGGUCAGAUCAUCGAGAAAGAUAUUGAAGAGGACUGGCCCUAGUACUGAGCCCUGGGGAACUCCACUAGUGACUGGUCUCCAGCUGGAUUUCACUCCAUUCACCACGACUCUUUGGGCCCAGCUACCCGGCUAGUUUCUUACCCAACGAAGCGUAAGCCAGUCCAAGCCAUGAGCAGACAGAUUCUUGAGGAGACUGCUGUGGGAGAUGGUGUCAAAAGCCUUACUGAAGUCAAGGUAGACCACAUCCACAGCCUUUCCCUCAUCCACCAAGGACGUCACUUUGUCAUAGAAGGAGAUCAGGUUCGUCAAGCAGGACCUGCCUUUCAUAAACCCAUGCUGACUGGGCCUGAUCGCCUGGUUGCCCUGCAAGUGCCACAUGAUGACACACAAGUUUACCUGAAGAGAAGGAGAAAAAAAGAAAAGAAAACAACCCAAGGAAACACACACAUAUAUAUAUCUGAUUUCUCCAUCAAUGUCAAGAAAGAUAAAGAAGUAAAAGCACAAUACUAAAGACAUUAUGAUCUGUGUGAGACACAGGCUACCCUGAAUUCAGAUGUUCAGAACUCAAUGACUAUGAUGAGAUGUCUGCCAUGGAUCAGGAAUAGUCAUAACCUUGUGUGUGAUGAUGGGCAGAAACAUAUAUUUAUCUAAAUAAAUUUAGAGCUGUUUCCCUAUGGACAUUUUUACUACGCUGUAUGGCUAUCAGAAUUUAAUUAGUACUGCCUUAGUUUAGCUUUACGUCUUUGUAUUGAUAUUAAAAGCAACAGUUAAAGUAAAACUAGAGAAAAGUGAUGUUGAAUCUGGCCCAAUUCAUUUUUUGGUAAUUGUGUAUUUUAAAAAGUUGGAAAUGAUCUGAGUAUGAAAGAAUAAAACAAGUACCUUCCUUUAAAAUAUUUUCUUCCUUUAAAAAUAAAUAAAUAAAUAAAUAAUAAAUAAAUAAAUAAAUGUUAAUUUUCUUUCUCCACAGUAUGAUGAAAAAGACUGUCUUGGAAACAUUUUUAAAAAUCUUAUUAAAAACUCUAUUUUGACAAUAAAAUAUAUGUAUACAACAAUUGCCGGAAAAGCAAAAUGACAAAGAAACAAUAUAUCAUAUUAACUUUGAAACAUUUAAAGCAAUCAAUUGAAAGCCUUUUAAAGCAGCACCUUCUGAUUGUAGAAACCCCUUUAAAACAUCAAAAUGGCCUGUAGAUGUUUUGGCAUUUUUGUUAUUGUUUGUUUGCUUGUUUCAAACUGGAAAACCUGGAAAAGUUCUCAGUAAACUGCAGACAAAUUGCUUUGAGAUUCUGGAAAUAUGUUAGCUAUAGUAAAGUAUUCCAUAUUACACAGUCUGAGACAGGAGGAGGGAAAAAGUGUGACAGCUGGCUUUGUGGGUACAUGAGCACAUUUCCCUUCAGAAAGCUGUCAGGCAAAACCAACUUCCUUGUUAUAAUUAAAUUACAUUACAUAUAUUGUUGAAAAUUCAUCUAUAUUGCUUCUAAAAAUAAUUAAUUGAUUCAAUGGCCAAAAUGCUGUCAUUUUACAAAAUUA
Cygnus atratus (black swan) is the source of this 1699-nucleotide long non-coding RNA. RefSeq lists it as uncharacterized. The record is from RefSeq and is a predicted model, not a curated record. Lineage: Eukaryota; Metazoa; Chordata; Aves; Anseriformes; Anatidae. The transcript is spliced from 4 exons.